RNAcentral lists this ribosomal RNA (109 nucleotides) under Peromyscus maniculatus bairdii (prairie deer mouse). Lineage: Eukaryota; Metazoa; Chordata; Mammalia; Rodentia; Cricetidae. The record is from RNAcentral.
GUCUGCAGCCAUCCUACCCUGAACAUACUUGGUCUCAGAUGGUAAGCAAUGCCCACAGUGGUUAGCAUUUGGAUGGGAGAUCAACUGGUAGUACUAGCUGCUGUAGGAU